GUUAGGAAUAUUGGACAAUGGGCGCAAGCCUGAUCCAGCCAUGCCGCGUGAGUGAUGAAGGCCUUCGGGUUGUAAAGCUCUUUAGCCGAUGAUUAUAAUGACUGUAGUCGGAAAAUAAGCCCCGGCUAACUUCGUGCCAGCAGCCGCGGUAAUACGAAGGGGGCGAGCGUUAUUCGGAAUCACUGGGCGUAAAGCGUGCGUAGGCGGUUUUGUAAGUUAGGAGUGAAAGCCCAGGGCUCAACCCUGGAAUUGCUCUUAAAACUACAAGGCUAGAAUGUCGGAGAGGAUAGCGGAAUUUCCAGUGUAGCAGUGAAAUGCGUAGAUAUUGGAAGGAACACCAGUGGCGUAAGCGGCUAUCUGGACGACUAUUGACGCUGAGGCACGAAAGCGUGGGGAUCAAACAGGAUUAGAAACCCGAGUAGUCC
RNAcentral lists this ribosomal RNA (425 nucleotides) under uncultured bacterium. Its description in RNAcentral is "partial 16S ribosomal RNA". It matches the Rfam family "Bacterial small subunit ribosomal RNA", at positions 354 to 796 of the family's 1533-position model. The record is from RNAcentral.